This 467-nucleotide ribosomal RNA is filed under the name uncultured Synergistaceae bacterium. RNAcentral describes it as "bacterial SSU rRNA". It matches the Rfam family "Bacterial small subunit ribosomal RNA", at positions 919 to 1382 of the family's 1533-position model. Lineage: Bacteria; Thermotogati; Synergistota; Synergistia; Synergistales; Synergistaceae. The record is from RNAcentral.
ACCCGCACAAGCAGCGGAGCAUGUGGUUUAAUUCGAAGCAACGCGAAGAACCUUACCAGAUCUUGACAUCCAAUUGACCAUCUUUUAAUCGAGAUUUUGCCUUCGGGUACAAUUGAGACAGGUGGUGCAUGGUUGUCGUCAGCUCGUGUCGUGAGAUGUUGGGUUAAGUCCCGCAACGAGCGCAACCCUUGUGUUUAGUUGCAAACAGGUGAAGCCGGGCACUCUGGAAGGACUGCCAUCGACAAGAUGGAGGAAGGUGGGGACGACGUCAAGUCAUCAUGGCCCUUAUGUCCAGGGCGACACACGUGCUACAAUGGCCGGCACAACGGGAAGCGAGUUCGCGAGGACGAGCGGAUCCCUUAAAGCCGGUCGCAGUUCGGAUUGAAGUCUGCAACUCGACUUCAUGAAGCUGGAAUCGCUAGUAAUCGCAGAUCAGCCAAGCUGCGGUGAAUACGUUCCCGGGCCUU